Molecule: ribosomal RNA, 1490 nt
Filed under: uncultured bacterium
Lineage: Bacteria
Description: bacterial SSU rRNA
Rfam family: Bacterial small subunit ribosomal RNA
Source: RNAcentral
GAGAGUUUGAUCCUGGCUCAGGAUGAACGCUAGCUACAGGCUUAACACAUGCAAGUCGAGGGGCAGCAUGAACUUAGCUUGCUAAGUUUGAUGGCGACCGGCGCACGGGUGAGUAACACGUAUCCAACCUGCCGAUGACUCGGGGAUAGCCUUUCGAAAGAAAGAUUAAUACCCGAUGGCAUAGUUCUUCCGCAUGGUAGAACUAUCAAAGAAUUUCGGUCAUCGAUGGGGAUGCGUUCCAUUAGGUUGUUGGCGGGGUAACGGCCCACCAAGCCUUCGAUGGAUAGGGGUUCUGAGAGGAAGGUCCCCCACAUUGGAACUGAGACACGGUCCAAACUCCUACGGGAGGCAGCAGUGAGGAAUAUUGGUCAAUGGACGAGAGUCUGAACCAGCCAAGUAGCGUGAAGGAUGACUGCCCUAUGGGUUGUAAACUUCUUUUAUACGGGAAUAAAGUGAGGCACGUGUGCCUUUUUGUAUGUACCGUAUGAAUAAGGAUCGGCUAACUCCGUGCCAGCAGCCGCGGUAAUACGGAGGAUCCGAGCGUUAUCCGGAUUUAUUGGGUUUAAAGGGAGCGUAUGCGGACGCUUAAGUCAGUUGUGAAAGUUUGCGGCUCAACCGUAAAAUUGCAGUUGAUACUGGGUGUCUUGAGUACAGUAGAGGCAGGCGGAAUUCGUGGUGUAGCGGUGAAAUGCUUAGAUAUCACGAAGAACUCCGAUUGCGAAGGCAGCUUGCUGGACUGUAACUGACGCUGAUGCUCGAAAGUGUGGGUAUCAAACAGGAUUAGAUACCCUGGUAGUCCACACAGUAAACGAUGAAUACUCGCUGUUUGCGAUAUACAGUAAGCGGCCAAGCGAAAGCGUUAAGUAUUCCACCUGGGGAGUACGCCGGCAACGGUGAAACUCAAAGGAAUUGACGGGGGCCCGCACAAGCGGAGGAACAUGUGGUUUAAUUCGAUGAUACGCGAGGAACCUUACCCGGGCUUGAAUUGCAACUGAAUGAUGUGGAGACAUGUCAGCCGCAAGGCAGUUGUGAAGGUGCUGCAUGGUUGUCGUCAGCUCGUGCCGUGAGGUGUCGGCUUAAGUGCCAUAACGAGCGCAACCCUUAUCGAUAGUUACCAUCAGGUUAUGCUGGGGACUCUGUCGAGACUGCCGUCGUAAGAUGUGAGGAAGGUGGGGAUGACGUCAAAUCAGCACGGCCCUUACGUCCGGGGCUACACACGUGUUACAAUGGGGGGUACAGAAGGCAGCUACACGGCGACGUGAUGCUAAUCCCUAAAGCCUCUCUCAGUUCGGAUUGGAGUCUGCAACCCGACUCCAUGAAGCUGGAUUCGCUAGUAAUCGCGCAUCAGCCACGGCGCGGUGAAUACGUUCCCGGGCCUUGUACACACCGCCCGUCAAGCCAUGAAAGCCGGGGGUACCUGAAGUGCGUAACCGCGAGGAGCGCCCUAGGGUAAAACUGGUGAUUGGGGCUAAGUCGUAACAAGGUAGCCG